Carya illinoinensis is the source of this 2862-nucleotide RNA transcript. It is a transcript of the gene named ubiquitin-like domain-containing protein CIP73, with no coding region annotated. NCBI's taxonomy places the organism in Eukaryota, Viridiplantae, Streptophyta, Magnoliopsida, Fagales, Juglandaceae. The record is from RefSeq and is a predicted model, not a curated record. The transcript is spliced from 17 exons.
CACCUCUCUUUUCCCUCUCCCCUGAGUCAUCCUUCUCCUUCCUCGUGCCACCGAUUUCUCUGAGAGAGAGAGAGAGAGAGAGAGAGAGAAAGGGAUUGAGAGCAGACUAUUUUGGCUAAAUAGCUUCCCCCACUUCUCUCUCCCUCUCCGCUGAAGCUUCUCGGUUGUCAACUAAUCUCAGGAGAAUGGGAAGUAAUGGUGCGGAUGCAAUUCCUAGGGUUGAUGAGGCUGGAGGUUCUGAACCUACAAUUGAAAUAAAAAUAAAAACAUUGGAUUCUCAAACAUAUACUCUAAGAGUUGAUAAACAGGUGCCAGUUCCUGCUUUAAAAGAGCAAAUUGCUUCCAUCACUGGUGUGUUGUCAGAUCAACAACGCCUAAUAUGCCGAGGAAAGGUUCUAAAGGAUGAUCAACUCCUCUCUGCCUAUCAUGUUGAAGAUGGUCAUACCUUACAUCUUGUCGUUCGGCAGCCCUUUCCACCGUCAUCUGAGGGUUUACCCAAUCAUGCAGCAACUGAUCCUGCUUCAACUACAAGCCAUGGGCACAGUAAUCAGGUACCUCCUGGUUUUGUUAUUGAAACUUUCAGUAUGCCUGUUCAGGGGGAAGGAGUUCCUCCGGAAAUCAAUCGGAUUAUCUCUGCUGUUCUGGGCUCUAUUGGAUUUUCAAACAUUGUAAAUGGCAGUGAAGGGGCUGAUGCUAGGGAUCAUGACACACAAAAUCCUACCCAGUUUCAACUCGAAGAGGCUGCCGUGAGGGGUCCAUCAGAUAGAUCUCACAGUGCUUACGGAAUUCCAUCAGCAGUUUCUUUGGGGCAUCUGCAGGCCCCUGUGAUUCCUGGUUCUUUGACUACGCUAUCCCAAAAUCUAAGUCAUUUGAGGCAUGAAUUUGAUGCCAUUGUGGCAGGCAGAGGCAGCAGAGACAAUGCUCAGGCAACUGCCACCCAUGAGAUUGGAGAGAGAGGUACUAAUUCCUCACUGCGCACUGGCACUGUACAAGAAGGAUUUCCAACACCAGCAUCCUUGGCAGAAAUUAUGCUCUCUACCAGACAAAUGCUCAUUGAACAUGCAGGAGAAUGCCUACUCCAACUUGCUGGGCAACUAGAGGAUCAAGUGAAUGUGACUGAUCCCUCUGUGCGGUUAAGCACUCAAUCUAGUGCAAUGAGAACUGGCAUUCUAUAUCAUAAUCUAGGUGCAUUUCUACUAGAACUUGGUCGUACAACCAUGACGUUACGUCUGGGUGAAACACCGUCAGAAGCCAUUGUUAAUGCUGGACCUGCAGUUUUCAUAAACCCAUCUGGUCCUAAUCCUAUCAUGGUUCAGCCUCUUCCUUUUCAACCGGGGACAAGCGUGGGUGCCAUUCCUAUGGGAGCUGUGCAGCCAGGUUCUGGUUUGGUUAAUGGACUUGGUACUGGCUUUGUUCCAAGGCGUAUUGAUAUACAAAUACGCAGAGGUUCUUCAAUAAGCACGCCAAAUAGUAAUCAAGAGCUGCGUAGUGAUACUCAGCAGCCCUCUGGGCACAGAAACUCAGAAACAAGUUCUGGUGUUGAAAACCUUACUAGUACAAGGACUUCAAGGGUCUCGGAGGGUUCAUCUUUUGCUGGAGAGGCUGGAGUACGGAUGGUACCAGUUAGGACCAUGGUUGCAGCUGUACCUGGUCCAUUCAGUCACCUACCUGCAGAUCCGUCCAGUAAUUCAAUAGGUUUGUACUAUCCAGUUCUUGGAAGAUUUCAACAUGUGGCGUCUGGACAUGCAAGUGGUGAACAAGGAUCUCAAGCAUCUGGUGAGCGGCCGACUGAUUCAGUAGUACAGCAGCAUAACAUAGAUGGUCCUGCAAGAGAUGGAUCAUUUCCAACACCUAAUCUAAGACAACAGGAGCCAUCUAAUGCACGCAGUGUGAGUAUCAACAUUCUGUCAGCUGGUGGAACCCAGAACAACCAGGAUUCUGAUAGACAGCUCCCGAGCAAUGUUAUGCAGUUUUUAAGGAACCUCUUUCCUGGUGGGGAAAUUCAUGUUGAGGAAGCCAGUCCACCGGGAACAAUUCGAGACCCUGUCCCACAGAACGAGGGGACAUCUAACGGUGUUGCAACGGCAACAGAAGCAGAGCCAAGAGUGAGCGAUGAAGGAGUAUUUUUGUCUAAUUUGCUUCAUCAGAUCAUGCCCUUGAUAUCUCAACAAGCAAGUGUAGAGCCAGAUACAAGACUUAUGGAAGAAGCAAACACUUCUGAGAAUACAAUGCCUUGCGAUUCUUUAACUCAGGGAGUUAUGGAUUGGUAUUCUUGGUAGAGCUGGGCUGAGUUGGGCUAUGCCUAAGAGGGUGGUGGAGGUUUUAGCCUGCUGGAACAGAAAUCACAAUAGCUCUCAACUGGAUGCAGCUUGGAGGAUGAUACCAUUGUGCUUAUUCUGGUUAACUCUGGUGUGGGGCCAUCUCGGCGACCAAGUGAUGGUGAAACAAGUCCUCCAGAUUCAAAACGCCGAAAGACACAGUGAUUUGUAGUGAGAUUGAGGAUGCUACCUGCAGAUGUGAGAUCAAUGAGACCAAAAACAAAAAAGAAAAGCAUUAUAUUGGUCAUUGUAGUUUAUUGGUUUUAUUUUUCAAUUUUUUUUUUUCUUGUCAAAAUUCAUGUUAGUCAGAGUUAUAGGAUAAGCUGUUUUCUUUUGCUGUAUUACAUUUUAGUGCUGUAAAACUUGCAAGUUAUAAUUUUUGUUUAUUAUAGUGCUAUCAGUCUCUUUUCAAUGCCUUACUAGUUUGAGAACUUAAUUCGAGAUACACUUGGGAGAGUUUAUGGUUUUAUCACACCUUGGGGCAAAAGACUACCCAUUCAUGUACAUGUAUGUUCUUCAAGGAAUUGCAAUUUGGACUGAUCUA